RNAcentral lists this ribosomal RNA (497 nucleotides) under uncultured bacterium. RNAcentral describes it as "partial 16S ribosomal RNA". It matches the Rfam family "Bacterial small subunit ribosomal RNA", at positions 28 to 507 of the family's 1533-position model. The record is from RNAcentral.
GAUGAACGCUGGCGGCGUGCCUAAUACAUGCAAGUCGAGCGAACGGACGAGAAGCUUGCUUUUCUGAUUUUAGCGGCGGACGGGUGAGUAACACGUGGAUAACCUACCUAUAAGACUGGGAUAACUUCGGGAAACCGUAGCUAAUACCGGAUAAUAUUUUGAACCGCAUGGUUCAAAAGUUAAAGACGGUCUUGCUGUCACUUAUAGAUUGAUCCGCGCUGCAUUAGCUAGUUGGUAAGGUAACGGCUUACCAAGGCAACGAUGCAUAGCCGACCUGAGAGGGUGAUCGGCCACACUGGAACUGAGACACGGUACAGACUCCUACGGGAGGCAGCAGUAGGGAAUCUUACGCAAUGGGCGAAAGCCUGACGGAGCAACGCCGCGUGAGUGAUGAAGGUCUUCGGAUCGUAAAACUCUGUUAUUAGGGAAGAACAUAUGUGUAAGUAACUGUGCACAUCUUGACGGUACCUAAUCAGAAAGCCACGGCUAACUACGUG